GCAGCAGAAGGAGGAGGGGUAGAAGAAGAUGGCAGCCUGGUCUCCAGAGAGAAAAUGAGUUCCCGAAUCUACUACAGGUAAAUCAGCAAGUGGACCUCCAGCACACAGAAUGUUGGUGAAUUUUUAAAAAGCUUGAGACAAGGCUCUGCCAUAAAGUCCACAUAGAUUAUUACUGUGGGAUUGGAAGAAGUAUCUGGUUCUGAAUACAAAAACUGACUGAAAUCCAAAGGUAGGAAAGAAAGGUCAUUUCUUGGGUCAAGAAGUUUUAAAAGGUCUCCUUGGAGAUGAGUGCUAAGACUAGCCUUGUAAGGUGGCUGAGGAGACAUGACCUCCCUAGGUUUGUCAGCAGAGAUUUUCAGGAGAGAAAACUGCCUAGCCUUUGGGAAUAAGCUGCUGAAGGUUCUUAUUAGGCUUUUUAAGUGGAGAGAGAAAUGAUAAAUAAGCUACUUUGUGAGCCAGAAUGUGUGUACUGUGUUUAGGGGGAAAUAGUCUGAAUUUUUCUUAAAAAGUAAACUGUUACAAUCCAGGAAAAGGUCCUGGAAGCCACUGACAGUUGGAAAAAUUAGCCCAUCAUGCCACCGUGGCCAAAGAGGCCAGCACCUCACUGGGCAAAAUCAGGGCAACAGGAAACAACUCCAGACUCUGGGCUGUUCUCGUUUGCAGCACAUGUAGUUUCCGGUGUUUCUGUUGAGAAAGGUAAAACUCUAGCAGUUGUGUAGAAGAGGAUGAAUGAAAUGAUCGUGGCAAUGAGUGGAUUUGUAUGAGCUGGACCACGGAGGUUCAGACUCACAGUUAAGAAUAAAAAAAUUGGGUGUUUCUGUGUAGAGAACAUAACAGAUGUGCUGUGACUAGCCAAUGUGAAUUUUCACCAAAUACUAGAACAUACCACUUGAAGCCAGAAAGAGAUGACUGAAGAACAAAUGGAAGAAAGUACUCUGUGAAGAUACACAGUUUUUCUAACUGAAGGCACUAAGAGGUGGUAGAAACAGAGUGAAGGCUCAGUCCAGGACUGCAGUCGAGGUGGAGUGCCACCCACCUUUUGCAGAUACUCUGAGAGGCCAGCCCUCUGCAGAGUGGUCCCGGGAGAAGCCUGAUCCCACCCCGGAGUGUACAUCUCACAUGGGGAAGAAAGCUGUCCUUUGUGAAAUGAUCCAAGUCAGCACCCCUUACUCUGCCGCAUUUUCACUCUUGGAGGUACAUGCUCUACGACUGACUGGCAAUGAGUAUGGGAAAACGUAUCCAGUCUGAAGAUGUCUGUGUAUCUGUUUACAUCCAGAGUUCUGUGACAUGUGCCCCUGCCCUCCCCUCCCCUGGACCGCUGCCAAGGAAUUGAUUGCACUUGAUUAAGCUUUUCUCUGUAGGUGAAAGAACAAGUUUAGGUCGGGGCCUGGCCCCUCGGCUGCUGCUGUGACCCUUGUCCCCAUGUGGCUCAUUUCCUGGCCCAUGACUCUGGUGUGCCCAGGGAGAGCGGUGUUGCCACCUUUUCCACACUGUCCUGCAGUCUGUGUAUGUUCGCCUGAGAGAAGAGUGGCUGUAACUACAAGUGAAACCUGCCUGGGAUAGUCGAGCACCUGCACCCACGACUGCUUUUGGCCUUGAAAUGAGUUAAUGAAGACAGAGGAACUUUCUCCCCUCUUCCCUUCCCAAUGCCACAAAGUUGUGCAUCCUCUGGGAUAAGUAGGCUAGUUGAAACAUGGGACUAGAUCUUUUAGAGAAGACCCCUGCGAGUUUUGAGACCCCCCCCCCCCCGAACAACCCCUCCUCCCUUCCCCCACCUUGAUGCAGUGUUUGGACAGGAGGGUACGGUGCUGCUUCAUGCAGCAGAUACUUUGGCUUAUCAAAGAGGCAGCCAGGCAUUUUGCACUAGGAGGAAUCAGUGAUCACUUUUCAGAAGACUUCUAUGGACCACAAUUAUAUUGCGGAGGAACAGAUUUUGCUAAGACAUAAUCUAGUUUUAUAACUCAAUCAUGGAUCAACCAUAUGUGGCUAACUUGCAGUUUAAAAGGGUCCCAUCAGUGAAAAACAGAUUUUUUUUUAACUGAUUGCUUUUAGUUAAAUUUAAGAAAGUCAUCUCUUGUCAAAAGGUUUCAACCUUCCCGCCUCAACUUAAAAGCAUGUCAAACAAUCCACAUCAGAUGCCAUAAACAUGAACUGCGAGAGAAAAUGGUACAAUCUUAGUGAAUGGGAAUUGGAAUCAAAAGGGUUUGCUGUCCUUCUUAGAAUGUUCUAAAAUGUCAAGGCAGUUGCUUGUGUUUAACUGUGAACAAAUAAAAAUUUAUUGUUUU
Equus asinus (donkey) is the source of this 2285-nucleotide long non-coding RNA. The record is from Ensembl. NCBI's taxonomy places the organism in Eukaryota, Metazoa, Chordata, Mammalia, Perissodactyla, Equidae.